UCCAGACUCCUACGGGAGGCAGCAGUGAGGGAUAUUGGUCAAUGGGGGAAACCCUGAACCAGCAACGCCGCGUGAGGGAAGACGGUUUUCGGAUUGUAAACCUCUGUCCUCUGUGAAGAUAAUGACGGUAGCAGAGGAGGAAGCUCCGGCUAACUACGUGCCAGCAGCCGCGGUAAUACGUAGGGGGCAAGCGUUAUCCGGAUUUACUGGGUGUAAAGGGGGCGCAGACGGCGAUGCAAGCCAGGAGUGAAAGCCCGGGGCCCAACCCCGGGACUGCUCUUGGAACUGCGUGGCUGGAGUGCAGGAGGGGCAGGCGGAAUUCCUGGUGUAGCGGUGAAAUGCGUAGAUAUCAGGAGGAACACCGGUGGCGAAGGCGGCCUGCUGGACUGCAACUGACGUUGAGGCCCGAAAGCGUGGGGAGCAAACAGGAUUAGAUACCCUAGUAAU
Molecule: ribosomal RNA, 447 nt
Filed under: uncultured bacterium
Lineage: Bacteria
Description: bacterial SSU rRNA
Rfam family: Bacterial small subunit ribosomal RNA
Source: RNAcentral